Molecule: unclassified non-coding RNA, 392 nt
Filed under: uncultured Gemmatimonadaceae bacterium
Lineage: Bacteria; Pseudomonadati; Gemmatimonadota; Gemmatimonadia; Gemmatimonadales; Gemmatimonadaceae
Description: contains 16S-23S intergenic spacer region
Source: RNAcentral
UCCGGUUUGGCACCGGCAGUCUCUCCAGAGUCCCCGGCUCGGCCUUUCGGCCUCUCCGCUGGCAACUGAAGACGGGGGUUGCGCUCGUUGCGGGACUUAACCCAACAUCUCACGACACGAGCUGACGACAGCCAUGCAGCACCUGUGCUAGCGCCCCGAAGGGGGGCCCCCCUUUCAGGGGGCUUACGCUAGCAUGUCAAGCCCAGGUAAGGUUCUUCGCGUUGCGUCGAAUUAAACCACAUGCUCCACCGCUUGUGCGGGCCCCCGUCAAUUCCUUUGAGUUUCAGCCUUGCGGCCGUACUCCCCAGGCGGGGCACUUAAUGCGUUAGCGCCGGCACUCGGAGGGUCGCUCCCCCGAGCACCUAGUGCCCAUCGUUUACGGCGUGGACUAC